UUUCCGUAGGUGAACCUGCGGAAGGAUCAUUAUUGUAAAACCGAGGUUCGAGGGAUGUCGCUGACCCGAAAGGUAUUGCACGCUCGAUUCUCUUCACACCCAUCCAUCUCACCCCCAUGUUCACCACCGCGGGGGCCCCCCUUUGGCCUAUUCGGCGGGUGGCUUAUGUUUUCACACAAACUUUGAAUGGUGUGUAGUUUGAAUUAUGUGUUUUUUCGUUCUCGCAAUCAAUACAACUUCCAACAACGGAUCUCUUGGCCGUCGCAUCUCUGAAGAACG
RNAcentral lists this unclassified non-coding RNA (279 nucleotides) under plant metagenome. RNAcentral's name for it is "partial contains small subunit ribosomal RNA, internal transcribed spacer 1, and 5.8S ribosomal RNA". The record is from RNAcentral.